Small nucleolar RNA from Anguilla rostrata (American eel), 137 nucleotides. NCBI's taxonomy places the organism in Eukaryota, Metazoa, Chordata, Actinopteri, Anguilliformes, Anguillidae. The record is from RefSeq and is a predicted model, not a curated record.
UCCCUUCUUAAAAGCACUUGUUCUGCCUGUGUUCAGUGGCUGGGUGAGUUGUCGUGGAAGGGAACAGUAAAGGCAUUGCUCUUGGGUGAGAUGGCAGCAACUUGUGCUGUUCAGUCUCAAUCCGUGAUGUCACAUUU